This 240-nucleotide long non-coding RNA is filed under the name Mytilus galloprovincialis (Mediterranean mussel). Lineage: Eukaryota; Metazoa; Mollusca; Bivalvia; Mytilida; Mytilidae. The record is from RNAcentral.
CGAUGAUUUACUCCCAUUGUAUCAGUACGAAAAAUGAACUCACAAUGAGGGUUAUGUGUGGAUUAUCGGAAAAUAAAUGAGAUGCGUUUCCAAUACCGAGGAUGGAAGAUUACUUGGAUAUCAAAACGGAGGAAUUUAUUAGUAUUAAUCAAAUUCAUUUUAACUGUAUAAUGUUGCGUCAACGUUCCAGAGUAUUCUUGAAGCAUUAAUGAGCUACUGGACUUCAAAAGUAUAUUGCAU